AGAAUCAACGCUGGCGGCGUGCCUAACACAUGCAAGUCGAACGAGAAAGUGGAGCAAUCCAUGAGUAAAGUGGCGCACGGGUGAGUAACACGUGACUAACCUACCCUUGAGUGGGGGAUAACCUAGAGAAAUCUGGGCUAAUACCGCAUAACAUCGCAAGAUCAAAGCAGCAAUGCGCUGGAAGAGGGGGUCGCGGCUGAUUAGCUAGUUGGCGGGGUAAUGGCCCACCAAGGCGAAGAUCGGUA
Molecule: ribosomal RNA, 245 nt
Filed under: uncultured bacterium
Lineage: Bacteria
Description: partial small subunit ribosomal RNA
Rfam family: Bacterial small subunit ribosomal RNA
Source: RNAcentral